RNAcentral lists this unclassified non-coding RNA (442 nucleotides) under Hevea brasiliensis (rubber tree). The record is from RNAcentral. Lineage: Eukaryota; Viridiplantae; Streptophyta; Magnoliopsida; Malpighiales; Euphorbiaceae.
AAAAAAAGCCUGGAGAAUUAUUGUAUAUGCGGGGAGCACUAAAAAUAGUGCUCCCUUAGAAACAAAAAAUCAUUUUUUGUUAAUUUUAGGGAGGUGAGACCCUUGCAUUCAGAUAGAGGUGCAUGUGCACCAGGUGCACUGAAUAAUAUCUGGGAAAAAACUGAUAUGUAACAGCCAUUAUUUAAAACCUUUGCUCUAUAUCUGCCCUCUCUUUCUUUUUCUUCUCUCAGCCAUAUAAAUUUGAUUAGAUCAAUGUACUUUCUUUCAGAUAUGUGUCUGCCACAUGCAUUUUAUUCCCUUAUCAUGAAUAAAUGCAAAUGAUGUUCCACAACUUGCUGCUCUCAGACUGGCUUCUGGACCAGAUCGUUGUCUUCUUUGAUUAUCACCCUUUUCUUGACUAGAUUUUAAUUAUUUAUAGGUAUACUACAGAUGGGGGUACUAG